CGGAGGAUCCAAGCGUUAUCCGGAAUUACUGGGCGUAAGAGUUGCGUAGGUGGCAUGGUAAGCAAAUAGUGAAAGCGUGGGGCUCAACCUCAUAUACAUUAUUUGAACUGCCAAGCUAGAGGAUGAGAGAGGUCGCUGGAAUUGCUAGUGUAGGAGUGAAAUCCGUAGAUAUUAGCAGGAACACCGAUGGCGUAGGCAGGCGACUGGCUCAUUCCUGACACUAAGGCACGAAAGCGUGGGGAGCAAACGGGAUUAGAUACCCCGGUAGUCCACGCCGUAAACGAUGGAUGCUAGCUGUUAACCGUAUCGACCCGGUUAGUAGCGAAGCUAACGCGUUAAGCAUCCCGCCUGUGGAGUACGGUCGCAAGACUA
Molecule: ribosomal RNA, 372 nt
Filed under: uncultured organism
Description: bacterial SSU rRNA
Rfam family: Bacterial small subunit ribosomal RNA
Source: RNAcentral